This 714-nucleotide small RNA is filed under the name Pan troglodytes (chimpanzee). RNAcentral's name for it is "processed transcript". Lineage: Eukaryota; Metazoa; Chordata; Mammalia; Primates; Hominidae. The record is from RNAcentral.
GAGUUUCUAGCCUGUUGAUUGGCCACUGACCCGUGCUGCAGGCACACAAAGGAAGCUGCACCCACAGCAGUCUGUUGUGGAUGGUUGCUGAGCUGCGCAUUCGGCAUUGGGCUUGCUUUGUUUCCUGCCAGGCCCAGCAUUUUCUUAUACCAGAUCGGCAGGCUUGUGGGCUUCUUCCUAGGUCCCUCCCCUGCACUCUGAAUAGGAAAGCUGGAAGCUGUUCUUUAGAGAAGCUUUAAGACGCCGUAAGAAACCAGAAGAGUGAGCGCCAGUUGUAUGUGCGUGGUCUCCAUCCGCAAAGCCGGAGCUGGGCGCAACAGUGUUGACUUAAGCAUUUUGACUUGUUGAUGUCAAUUUGGAACAGCUGAAAAAAUACAGGAAAAUAAGAUAAAUACGUACAUGUUGAGGGUGGGGACAAAAUGAAGGUUCUGAACCAGCUGCCGGCUUACAGUAGCCAUAUAAGCAGCAGCAGCAAUGCACCAACCUGGUGGCAUGGAAUGUUCACAUGGGAGAGCCGCAUGAGGCCGCCCACCACGCUUCCUGAAGGAUGCCCGUGUGGAAGAAUUUUGACGUGCCAGUGUCCUCGUUCUACAGGGUGUUCCGUUCUUCCGCAAUCUCAGAAAAAUGGGACUAAAAGAAACUAGUUUGUAAAAUAAGAAGACUUCCAUUUUUAAUGACCAACAUGUAUUAAGAUGGACACCUACUCUACGAAAC